RNAcentral lists this ribosomal RNA (264 nucleotides) under Clostridioides difficile. RNAcentral describes it as "partial 16S ribosomal RNA". It matches the Rfam family "Bacterial small subunit ribosomal RNA", at positions 290 to 571 of the family's 1533-position model. The record is from RNAcentral. Lineage: Bacteria; Bacillati; Bacillota; Clostridia; Peptostreptococcales; Peptostreptococcaceae.
ACCUGGGAGGGUGAUCGGCCACAUUGGAACUGAGACACGGUCCAAACUCCUACGGGAGGCAGCAGUGGGGAAUAUUGCACAAUGGGCGAAAGCCUGAUGCAGCAACGCCGCGUGAGUGAUGAAGGCCGUCGGGUCGUAAAACUCUGUCCUCAAGGAAGAUAAUGACGGUACUUGAGGAGGAAGCCCCGGCUAACUACGUGCCAGCAGCCGCGGUAAUACGUAGGGGGCUAGCGUUAUCCGGAUUUACUGGGCGUAAAGGGUGCG